UUGCAGCAACUUAAUUGCCUUUUCAUCCAUUUCUGGACCCAUUUCAAGGGAGGAUUGGGAGAAAGUCUUAUAGUCUAGACUUAUAAUGUUAUAGUCUAGCUAGCUCAAGAAAUCUUGAGGUAAACCAUCUGCAACAGAUCGGCUGAGCCUCUGUUAGAAAACACUCCGAUGAAGGCCUACCAUGCACCAGCUAAGAGUGGCCAUAGUCAAGUAUCUAGCUAGAUUCAGGUGGAUUGAUCCAGUCAAGGAAGCCAUGGCCCUGAAUUUGCAAACUCUAAGCACAGCUGCAGAUAACCGGGGCUCUUGGAAGUUUCAUUUAUGGGGUUGUCAUAAAGUGAAGUUGAGAAGGAAAAUGACAGCAACAACAUGAGAUGUACCUUAGUGGCAUCAGUACUGGCUCUGUAUUUUCCCAGGGUGAGGACCCAGCCUGCACAUAAAAGAUAUUACACCUAAUUCACCUCCCAUUGGAUUGGAUCCAAACUCUAUCAUCUUUAGAAUGGAAUUAUUUAAAUUCAUGGACCUCAAGUUAGUCACAAUUAACCUACUGCAUAUCCAGCUAUUACCUAGCAUGUGAGUUGUAUUCCUCUAGCUGACUUCACAUGAACAGAAAAAUAGUGCCGAAAAAUGAUGAUUGGUAAAUAAAACCUCAUUGAAACUAUUGCUGGCAGUUCUGAGGUCUAGAAAAACAGCUGUUAGAUUUAUUCUGGAAAAAGAAGACUGAUUAUUGUUGUUGUUGUUUUUAAAAAGCUUUCUUUAGCAUUGCCAGAUGCCCAGCACAUAUGGCAAAUUAGAACUUUAUAUUCCAUUUUCCAAAGCUAAAUCACCUUUGGACAAAGAACAAAGAUGAGAAUAUAUUCCAUCCAGUGGAUUUUGUUUCUCUGACGUCUGAAAAACAUUCUACUAAAUAUGGUGGUUCAACAGUUGGAGUAUGAAAGCAAACUGCCUCUGUGGUACUUGAUGAAUGCAUGGGAAGCUUCCAAGAUGCUUUCAGUGUCUGAGAAGGAACAUUGUGGUGGAAAAUCCUUGUUGAAAUAAAAAGCCAUAGAAACAUGGAGUCGCUUUGGUUAAAGAAAAAUAGGUUUUUAAAAUAGAGGCUUG
Sceloporus undulatus (fence lizard) is the source of this 1098-nucleotide long non-coding RNA. RefSeq lists it as uncharacterized. NCBI's taxonomy places the organism in Eukaryota, Metazoa, Chordata, Lepidosauria, Squamata, Phrynosomatidae. The transcript has 3 exons. The record is from RefSeq and is a predicted model, not a curated record.